Long non-coding RNA from Lemur catta (Ring-tailed lemur), 604 nucleotides. RefSeq lists it as uncharacterized. The record is from RefSeq and is a predicted model, not a curated record. The transcript is spliced from 3 exons. NCBI's taxonomy places the organism in Eukaryota, Metazoa, Chordata, Mammalia, Primates, Lemuridae.
UGGCGCCAGGGUGGGGGGCAGAGGGCGUUGCCGCUGGGGCCUCAGCUGCUGGACCACCGGGUCCCUGCCCUGGAGCUGUCCCCUGUGGCCGAGUGACCCGGGGCGAGCAGGGCCCUCCUUGGCUUCCAACUCAGUCUCUCUGCAUGGGGUGGGAGCAGUCGCCGGAGGGUGCUCCGCUCUCACGCUCUGCACACGGCAGGUGCCCGCGUUCGCUUCCCAGACGGCCACAGCAACAGCGUCCCGGGAGGAGGCGGCCACGACUCAGCCGGCGUUGCCCUCAGGCCCCGCGGGGGUCGGGACACACCGUGAAGCCCUGACUCCCCCUGGUCUCUGGGGAGGUCGUGUUCUCGUGACCCCUGGGAAGGGCUGAGGCGCCCGGGCAGAGCUGCCGCCCCUGCCUUGACCCACCACUGCCGAGUCUGUGUCGGCCCUGUCGUGGGGGACCCGGCGGAGCCGUCACCGAGAUAUACCAUCUGUUUGCUCCUGCCCUCUGGCGUCACGCCCUGUGUGAGAGGACGCGACUGCCAGUGAGUGAGGCCUUCCCGUGCCCAGACCUGAGACCCCGAGGGGAACGUGCCAUUGCAGCGCAAAGUCCUCUGUGUCC